GACGAACGCUGGCGGCGUGCUUAACACAUGCAAGUCGAACGGAAAGGCCCUGCUUUUGUGGGGUGCUCGAGUGGCGAACGGGUGAGUAACACGUGAGUAACCUGCCCUUGACUUUGGGAUAACUUCAGGAAACUGGGGCUAAUACCGUAUAGGAGCUCCUGCUGCAUGGUGGGGGUUGGAAAGUUUCGGCGGUUGGGGAUGGACUCGCGGCUUAUCAGCUUGUUGGUGGGGUAGUGGCUUACCAAGGCUUUGACGGGUAGCCGGCCUGAGAGGGUGACCGGCCACAUUGGGACUGAGAUACGGCCCAGACUCCUACGGGAGGCAGAAGUGGGGAAUAUUGCACAAUGGGCGGAAGCCUGAUGCAGCAACGCCGCGUGCGGGAUGACGGCCUUCGGGUUGUAAACCGCUUUCGCCUGUGACGAAGCGUGAGUGACGGUAAUGGGUAAAGAAGCACCGGCUAACUACGUG
This 468-nucleotide ribosomal RNA is filed under the name uncultured bacterium. RNAcentral's name for it is "partial 16S ribosomal RNA". It matches the Rfam family "Bacterial small subunit ribosomal RNA", at positions 28 to 507 of the family's 1533-position model. The record is from RNAcentral.